This 710-nucleotide long non-coding RNA is filed under the name Manihot esculenta (cassava). RNAcentral's name for it is "long non-coding RNA (MESC_LNC002919)". Lineage: Eukaryota; Viridiplantae; Streptophyta; Magnoliopsida; Malpighiales; Euphorbiaceae. The record is from RNAcentral.
UGAAAUCUACGAUGAUUUUUUAUUGCAAAAUAAUUAUUUAUUAGUUUGAAUAAUUUAAGUCCGUAAUUGCUUGGGUUAUUCUUACAUGAGGACACUUGGGAUAGAACCCAAGGAAAUUACAUGAUCUAGCGUUAUCUCCAUACGUUUGGGUAGCUAGGAUUGGGUCUCUCUCUUUCUUAAUGCAAUUAACAAUUGUUUUGAUGCCUAAGGUCCAAGGACGUUCCUUGACAAUUUGUUAAUUAGUAAUUAAUUAGAGGACGUUCCCUAAUUAAUUUAUUCCUAAGGAGAGAUAAUGGUGGUGAGAAGCGUCUUCCAUCUCCAUAACGAAUCUAUUGGGUCAACCCAAAAGAGCAAAGUGCCUGUGAUCAACCCCAACAACUAAAAUGGAUCCAAUAUUUCAACUAGAACUUUCUCAUUAUUAAUUACUUUUUACUUAAUUAUUUGCUUUCUAUUAUUAUUUUCAUUAUUAGUUACUACAAUCAAUCUCAAAACCCCCCAUUUUACUUUUACUGCAAUUCAGCUUUCAGUUUAUCUCAUUUGAUCCCACUUUCAGUUUUUAUCUCAUUUUUUUGUUUAUCUCAUUGCUUCAGUUAAUUUUAUUGGUCUUGUUGAGAAAAAUAAAUAGGUAAUCAAUUCUCUGUGGAUUCGAUCAUUUCACCACUAUCUGCAGUUGUAAAUUGUUGAUAACCAGAAAGGUUAUUUUUGGCCGG